Molecule: ribosomal RNA, 253 nt
Filed under: uncultured bacterium
Lineage: Bacteria
Description: partial 16S ribosomal RNA
Rfam family: Bacterial small subunit ribosomal RNA
Source: RNAcentral
UACGAAGGGGGCUAGCGUUGCUCGGAAUCACUGGGCGUAAAGCGCACGUAGGCGGCUUUCUAAGUCAGGGGUGAAAUCCUGGAGCUCAACUCCAGAACUGCCUUUGAUACUGGCGAUCUUGAGUCCGGGAGAGGUGAGUGGAACUGCGAGUGUAGAGGUGAAAUUCGUAGAUAUUCGCAAGAACACCAGUGGCGAAGGCGGCUCACUGGCCCGGUACUGACGCUGAGGUGCGAAAGCGUGGGGAGCAAACAGG